This is a long non-coding RNA of Talpa occidentalis (Iberian mole), 10393 nucleotides long. RefSeq lists it as uncharacterized. NCBI's taxonomy places the organism in Eukaryota, Metazoa, Chordata, Mammalia, Eulipotyphla, Talpidae. The transcript has 3 exons. The record is from RefSeq and is a predicted model, not a curated record.
GGGCGGGGCGGGCGGGCUGUGGAGAGCUCUGCGCGGGUCAUUUGGGUCCUGGGGGAACAUGGGGGUCAGGACAUUCCCGAGUGUGACCCUGAGGGUGCGCGGCGCCCCUGAAUGAAGGCGCAUCCCCCGUGUUUGCUCCCAGCACCUCCCUGCUGCACUGAUCAACCUCCGGAUGGGUUUUCUGGGCUCUCCGUUCUGUUCCAUUGAUCUGUGUGUUUUAUCUCUGUGGACUUAGGAUAUAAUUUGGAGAAUGUAUUGUAAACUUUUCUGGGGCUGACAUCCCCCUCCCCACGCCAGGUCCAGCAGGCAGGAGGGCAGAGCCGAGUCCCAGUCUCCUGGGGUGCAGGUUCUUACCCAGUAGGUUGCGUGGUGCCUGGGGCUCUGCAUUUCUCACGGGGUCUGAGAUGCUGCCCGUGCUGGGCCUGGGCCCACGUCUGAAGGGUGAGGCAUCACUUACCUGUUGUGCAGCUGAUGUGGCCAUUCAGAGCCUGGAAGAGGGAACUUUGACACCUAGAAACUGCCUCAUGAGGCGACUUCAGACUCCCCUUGAAUAGAACCAGGCUUUCCUGAGCCUUGAGUGACCAAGAGCCACACGGCUGCCACACUCUGGAUACAAUGUCUGCUUUUCAAAAAUGGGUUUGUAGUCACCAUUUCAGUGUAUUGAAACCUGUGACUAUCUCUUUAUCACUAAAGGACACCCCCGAGAUUCCCACAGCAAGGACAGCUGGAUGCUAUCACCAAUGGGGAUGGAAGGUCCUUCAUGGGAAAUCAUCUGAGACACUGAAGGGCCCAUUCCUAAGCUCUUGAGGUCUUUUCUCUACUGAUACCUGGCCCUAAGAGGAUCUCUCCUGUAUUAGAGCGUGAAUAAGCCACACUCAUUCACCUGGGAAGUGGACGUUUUGUCGAUAAUCAACUUUUUAAUAUUUAUAAUCUGUUAAACUGAUAUUACCUCCUCCAUCAUAAAUCCUUUUAUGCUUGCUUUGGAGAGAAGUUGAACAGGUCAGGGAAGGGGAAAGAAAUCGAUGUUUAUUGAGCACCUGCUGGAGAUUACCUGACCCUGUGCAACAAGUCCAUUACUUAAGUUAUGUGAUCUCACUGGUGGCACUGUAGAGACAUUAUUCCUACUCCGUAGUUGAGAAUCCUAAGGUCCAAAGGAGACAGGAACUUGUGUUAAGAUCAUACAAAUAAGGACGAAAGUCAGGGAUUUUUGGACUACAUAUUUUUGGCCAAAUCAGAGAUUGUCAAAUGAGGCUAAUCUGGAAACCCCCUGAAGGCCAGCGGGAGGGGAGGAGUGUGGGCAACCCUGUCCAUCCUCAGAACAGCUCCGUGGGUGUUGGACUUCCUCCUUCAUAAGGAAAGAGCCUCAGGUUAAAAUAAAAGUUUAAUGUAUCAUUGUGUUACAUGCAGAUGCUGUCUUUAAUGUUGCACAUGAUUUCCUUAAUAGUUUUAGAAAUAGCUCUAAUCCCAAAUGUGAUUGCUACUCACAGGAGACUGCAUUUCAAAAUAGCCUUUUCUGUAAUUAUUCCCAUACAGCAGAUUUAGCUGCUGUACCUACCAGAAGGAAUUCCUGGAGAUCUAGAACAGCUGAUAAGAAAGCAAUGCCUCAGCAGUGCCUGCAGUAUUAUUCAGGAUAAGACCCCCCCCUUUGACUGUUAAAGAUUUGAUCUAUGUCAUCUAUACAAGUGGGAAACACACUAGAAGCAGUGACUGGUGUCCUCAGGAUGUUGGUAUUCACGGUGAUUGUUUUGUUAUUCAUGUUUCCUCUGUUGAUAAGUUUUUCAGUGAACUUGUAUCAUUUUGUGAUUAGAUUUUAAAAAGGUUAUUUACAUAGUCCUAAAGUUUAGAUUCUUGCACAUUGCUCUUAGUAAUUUUCAGUAUUGAAGAGCACACAUCCAUUCUCUGAAACAAUCUCGAUUAUGUUUGUUAUUCCAAUGAACCGAAUGUGAAGUUGAGUGUGAAGAUGUAUGUCCUACUUUAACAAAAUGCUCUGGAGAGCGAGGCAGCGCUCCCGCCUGCCUGUGACUGUGCAGGUGUUUCUUUUCACAGACCUUUGGCGUUUUCAGCUCUCUCUGCCCGCUGGUGUCUGUGCACUGUCCUGUACUUACCUUCACUUUUAAAUUGUGCUUUGGAUAUAAACAAAAUGCAGAACAAUUCUCUGGAGAUAAAAAUAGGUCUAUUUCAUCCUGAUACAUGUUCUUAAACAUAUUGUGGCAAGCGUUUCUCUAUCCCAGCACCAGCUGUGAUCACCUCCUAUCUUCAUUAGGUUUGCCAUAGUGGGGGUAGGGCCAGCUCCAAACAGCAGCCUUAGCAAAAUACAUUUCUUUGCUUUAAUAGGUGUACUUAUAUUGCACCAAAUAAAAGGUGGUGCAGGCACACCUUGAAGAUAUUGUUGGUUCAUUUCCAGAAUACCACGGCAACCCUAAUAUUGCAUAAAUAAAGUCAUUACUUUUUUGUUGGUUUCCUGGUGUGAGUGAAAAUUGUUUGCUCUAUAGUGUCGUCUAUUAGGUAUGCAGUAGUAUUUUGUCUAACGGGAAAAUAGCCUAAUUAGAUAUCACCGAGACAUGAGGUGAACAUAUGUUUUUUGGGAAAUGGUGCUGCUGGACUUAGCCCAGUCCAGGUUGCCACACACCUUCAAUUUGUGAAAAGCAGUAUCUGAUAAAGCAAAGCAAGCAGGAUGGGGUGUGCCUUUAUAGACACUUCUGAGAACAAUCCUUUGGGUUUUAAUAAAGUAUACACAUCUGGAUAAGUGGACUUCAAUUUAAUGAUGAUGUUUAUAUGUAACUAUUUUUUUUCAGCAGUUAUGUCAGCACAGGAGUGUGUGUAUUCUUUUCCAUGAUAGAAAGUACGCUGAACACUCAAGGUAGUGAACAAGGGUUAGCUAAAUGCCUGCAGUCUGCCAGGGACUGGGCUAUACACAAAGCCUCUUUAAAAUUUAUUGUGGUCUUUUAAAAAUGUCAAAAACUUAUAGCUAUCAUUGGUUGAAUCUCAGUUGUAAGUAGAAAAUAGGGAGUUUAGUUUUUAUUAUGCUAUUGAACAGCUACAGAGGAAGCACAUAUGACUUGGCUUCUGCCUAAAUUCUUCCCCAGGCUGUAAAUCCAUGUGUCUGCAGUGAAGUAGCCAGUACUCCCUGCCACCACACUCUGAUCCUUUUGCUCCCCAAACUGGACAUUACUGUUGACAUUUGGGAUCAUGGUACCAUUGCUGUGCUUUAUUGUUUUGAAUCAUUGGUGUUUUGUUAUUUAUCUUUUUAAAACACUUAUUUAUUAUGCACAAAAGAUCUAGGGCACAGGCCAGAGAAGCAGGGGGUGGGAGGACUCACGAGAGACAGAGCGGGGAACAGAACAGGCAGACCAAUUGAAAUACACAGCUGAAGGUAGCAGCGGGUGAGACAAGAGAGGUCUGCCUUGCCAGGUGGGACACCCGCUGGCCGGCCGGGGAUCAAACUGGGGCUGUGGGGACUGUAGACCCCCUCAUAGUGCGGUGCUCAACCCCCAACCCCCUGUGCCACCAGGGUGGCCCUAGAUUUAUUUUUUUAAUAUUUUAUUUUAUAUAAUUCUUACAACAUUCCUAUUUUUAUUUUUAUUUAUUUAUGCAUUUUUAUUUAUGCAUACAAGAACUCUACCAAUUUCUAAUUCAAAGUUUGCUUUUUUUGUUUAAAGAUUUAUUUUUGUGUAGAAGACCUGGGGUGCAGGCCAGCAGUGUCGGGUGAUGAGAGGAUUUACCAGUGACAGAGUGGGGAGCAGAACAGACGGAUAUACUGAAAUACACUGCUCAGGGGAGCAGCAGGCUUCACUGAUUAGGGAUGAAGAAGGUUGUGGCUGACACCCCAGGAUGCCAAAGCUGCUGCAGCCGGUGUGCUCAUGAACAAAAGGGCACUGAGAAGCCAGUGUCUUGUCUUAAGUACCUUCCUGUGUGGAACUCAGAACCCCAAGGAAACAGGUGAGUGUCUGAGUUGAUGCCUGGUGAGCAGCAGACCAGGUCAGCUUGCCAAGGAGCGGCCCUCAGCCGUGUUCCUCUGACACCUUGGGAUCACAGAGCUGUAAGCAUGAGGCAGCUCUGGAGCUGUGGCUGCCUAGGCCUUUUCCUAUCAGAAUAGCAUCUGACAAUCAUAUUAUUUACUCUCUCAAUGACCUCUUUUUGAAGUGUGCUUGCCUGCCGUGCAGAAGCUCUUUGCUAUGCUAUGAGGCACUGGGUACAGUCAGAAGCACGGGAGGGUGAGAGAAUUCACCAGAGCCAGAGCGGGGAGGAGAACAGGCGGGCUGAGGAAGUACACUGCUGAGAGGAGCAGCGGGCGGCAGGAGAAGUCUGUGCAGUAUGUGGAACCCUCCCGGCGGCCAGGGAUCGAACCAGCACUGUGGAGGCUGCGGGCAGCUUGGCAACCAGAGCUCAACCGCUGUGCCACCAGGGGGGCCCACAAAGGAGACUAUUUUACAAUAGUAUACACAUUCAUUUCACAAAGCAAAAGGAAAGUAAGAGGGAUCAUUUGCAUGUCUGGACCUGGGAUUUCUUGCAUAGCACUCCAACAAUAAACAAAAUUCUUGCCAGGUCCCCAUACCAAAAGCUUUCCCUAUGGUCCUUGUGCCCCAGAAGAUGAGUGAUCUUGGCUCUCUUUUCCUUAUAUAAUAAUUUUCUUCUUUUCUGGAUUUAUUGGACUGCUUUCUAUGGAAAUUUUCUUCUUUCUCCAAUUUCUCUCUCUCUCUCUCUAGUCUAUAGGUAGAGUGUACCAAUGAUGUUCCUGAUGCUGGUUUUCAUGGAAAGUCUUGUAGAGUUAUCCUUUUAGAACGCUCAGGUAACCACACCAGGAUGAGGCCCAGAUCCUAGCACCUCUUAACAAGUUUCUGUCAUGGACCGUGCAUAUGUGGGGAUGGACCCGACUUACAUUUCUGGAGGACUGUAGUGCAAGGAGAGGAUGAAAUAACGUAUUCAGAAUAGAGAUAAAAUAUACGGGUCACAAAUAUCCUAACCUGCAGGAUUCUCCUACAGAGACAAGAGAGUAAAAAUGUUCUGCCCAGACAAACAAAAGCUGAAGAAGUGGUCCACUAACAAAUCUUCCCUGAAAGAAAUGUUAACAAGAGAUCCCCUGUAUAAUUUGAAGAGAAAAGAAAAAAGAAAAAGCUGAGCAGGGAAAUAGAACCAGAAAACUAAAGUGAAAGUGGCAGUAGAAGAUCCUCUAUAGAGCUCACCAAUCCAAAGGCAGAGAGAGGCCAGCCUCGGUUCAGGAAACAAAACCCAAGAUUGCACAGUCCCCAGGAGACCCUUCUGACCCCCCAAAAUAAACACAGGCUCCCGGCUGAAGGCUGAGUAUUACACCAAACCACGGAACAGACUCAGGGAUGUCAGAGUCUGGGCCAAAGUAUAUUGUGCUGCACCAUGAUGUGCAACAAGAAACAUUCUAUGUGGAGCCGAGAGCCUUCAUUUUUCUCACAAUAUAUUUUGAAUAGCAGCUGCUUUGUAAUGUUUGCAAUAGGAUCCAUGUCAGGAUCUGCAGGUAAAUGAUGUUUUAGUCAUGCUUUUAUUUUACUUAUUUUUUUAAAGAUUUAUUUAUUUUUAUACAAGAACCAGGGUACAGGCCAGAUGCACUGGAGGGUGAGAGCAUUCACCGGAGACAGAGCGGGGAACAGAACAGGCAGACUGACGAAAUACACACUGCUGAGGGGAGCAGCAGGCAAGACAGGAGAGGUCUGCCGCGCCAUGUGGGAGACUCGCCGGCCGGCCAGGAUUGAACCAGCGCUGCAGAGGCUGCGGACACCUUCACAGCAUGGCUCUCAACCACCUGCGCCACCAGGAAGGCCAAUUUUUACUUAUUUUUUAAACAGAUUUCUUUACUUAUGAACACAAGAGCUGGGGUGCAGCCAGAGGUGCGGGGGUGGGGGCAAGGGGAUUCACCAGAGACAGCGCGGGGAACAGAGCAGGUGAACUGCCUGAAAUCCACUGCUGAGGGGAGCAGCGGGGAGACAGGAGAGGUCUGCGGCGCCCUAUGGGUCACCUUCCUGCCUGGGGAUGUGAUGUUGGCACCAGAUGAUGUGACGAGUCCCUUCACGGUCGCCAAAAUGUUGUAGGUGUAGAGUGCGUGCGGGUCCUGGGGGUCACUCUGGGAAAGGUGCCCCCAGAGCUCCCGUUCCAGCGGGACACAACGAGUUCCCCAGCCACGUUUCUCCAUGAGACAGAGACACUAGUUACAUUAAAGGGCAGAUUUAGGGCCUUUCCUGGUGGCGCAGCGGUUGAGCGCUGGGCCGUGGUGCUGCCUGCAGCCUCUGCAGCGCCUGUUCGUUCCCUGGCCGCUGGCGAGGGUCCCACAAAAAAACAGGGCAGAUUUAUUAGGGAAAGGGAAAGGGACAGGUUUUGCUGAGAGAGGCCUGCAUGGUUGCAGGCGGGCGGCCUUGACAGGUCACAGCAGGCAGGAGGCUGCUGCCCUACAGAGGGAGAGAGUUGAUGAGAAGAGGCACCUGCAUAGUCACGGGUGGGCAGAGGGAUGGCUGCCUUGAGCCCGUGCAGAGACUGCUCUGAUACAGCCCUUUUCUCUUUGGGAGGGUCACUCCUCCAUGGAGUGGCUGUUUGUUGCUGAUGUCAGGUAACAGGCAACACUAGAAAGGGACCAGAGAUUCCAGGGUGGGCCCCAUCUCCAUAUCCUUCCCCUCAGGCCUGUGCGCCACUCCCUAGAGCUUCGGAUCCUGCUCAGGUGUCCUGCCCUGUGACUAGGCACUGGCGCCUAAGGGUCUGACCUCCACAGCUGGGUUAAUGGUCCUGUUAUUCCCCUCGACCCCCACCUCCUUGCGUGAGUCAGGUUUUAGUCGCGUGAGGCCUCCUUUCCAGUCUUUCCAUCAGAUGGAACUCGAGCUGCAGAGGCUGCGGAUGGCCUCACAGUGUGGUGCUUAACCCCUGCACCAUCAGGGAGGCCCCACGCCUUGCUUUUAUGUCAGCUUCAGGUAAGGGGAUUUUUAACAAUGAUUAAAAAAAAAUCUUUCCCAGAAAUUCAAGCAACCUUGUUUGCUGUUUUAAUGACUUGUGGAUAUUUUAGGGUCUGGCUGUGGCAGACACUGUCAGUGAAAGGCUGGGAGUCGCGGAGCCUGCAACAGACCCGCCUGUGCCUCCUGCCCUGGAGUUAUGUUGGGACAAGGCCUGGGGAUGGACUAAAAUUUUCAGGGAGUGACUGGCCAGGAGCCUGACUUGUGCCCCUCAGAUGACCAGGUGAACUCUUAGAAGUCUCCUGAUUCUCUACUCCCUGCUUGCUUCAAGUUGUAAAUGUGCCCCUUCUGGGGCCAUGGGUGCUCUGUCACCCAAUGGCUCGGGGCUCGGACUUUGGAAAAAGAUCACCUCUGGGCCUGCGGGAUAAAUAAAGAUGAAUUUUUUCCAUAACCUCUUACAAUCUAAAAAUCAAAAGGUAGAAGGUCCUAACUCAAUGCAAAUAAAGCGAGGUGUGUUAAGAAUUGUAUUUAAAACAGGACCUCCCCUGGUGGCGAAGGUGGUUGUAGGUGGUUGAGCGCAGCGCUGUGAAGCUGUCUGCAGCCUCUGCAGCACCCGUUCGAUCCCGGCUGGCCGGAGUGGGUCCCACGUGGCGCAGCAGACCUCUCCUGUCAUGCCUGCUGCUGCCCUCAGCAAUGUAUUUCAGUAGAUCUCCCUGUUCUGUUCCCCACUCUGUCUCUGGUGAAUCCUCUCACCCCCCACAUCUCUGGCCUGUACCCCAGUUCUUGUGUGCAUAAAUAAAUAAAUCUUAAAAGAUUAUUUAUGCACUCAAGAACUGGGUUGUAAGCCAGAGAUGGGGGUUGUGUUUGAGAGGAUUCACCAGAGACAGAGUGGGGGGCAGAACAGGCAGACUGACUGAAACACACUGCUGAGGGGAGCAGCGGGGAGACAGGAGAUGUCUGCUGCACCAUGUGGGUCAGCUCCCUGGACAGGGAUGGUACUCGUGCUGCAGUUGCUGGUGCUGGUGCUUUAUAGUGCAGCGUCCUAACCCCUCGCGCCCACAGGGAGGUCCCUCUCUACUAUUCUUUUUUUUUUCCCUUUUGGUUGUAAAGGCAAUGAACGAGUCACAGGGAGAAGCUUUGUUAUACAAAAUUUUGUUUUAUGAAAUAUCCAUGCCCCAUUCAUUAUUUUUCCUGCAUCUUUUGUAGACAAAGACAACUUUCUUGUAUUUGUAAGCUGGAAGGGCUCAGACUUUGAAGGAGUGUCUUGUUUUCACUUUUAUUUUUAAUUGAAGCUAUAUACAGCUGUGGAUUAAACAGAAUAAAUUUCUAAAUUUAAAAAUGAAGAAUAGGGGCAAAAGUUGUUUAUUUGGGUUGAAAAGCUAGCCGGAGCACAGGUUCAGGCUAGAAAGCCAAACACCCUCACUAAAAAAAAAAAAAAAUGAGGUGACCUUGACGUGAACUCCCAUCACUGCUGCUCUGCCCUUGCCUGUGUGACUAGCGGGAGACCAUGUUUCAUCCUAAAAUGUUUUUCUGUAACUACAUGGAAUUCUUCAGCCUUUUAAAAAAUUACUUUCCCCUGCCAAGGAGCAAGGAGGUCAUUUUACCAAUGGAGUUUCCAUCAGCUUCUGUUACUGGUCCUGAUAAUGAUAGGGAGUUGUGUAUAUUAUAGAAAAUGUGAAGAGUAGAAUAAAAUAGGAUGAACUGUAUCAAAAAGUAUUCUUAUGACUUAGUACAUUUCCUUCCUAGUUUUUCCCCUAUAUUGGCACUUGCCUGUGUAGAAGGUGGGAAGUAGCUUGAUAAUUAUAAAAUGAGCUUCCAUUAAAUAGGUCAAGGAAUGUAAAGUCACAUCAUCGCAUGAUCUUCGUCCAUAAAGAAGCCCCUAUAUGGCUGUCACCCAUUUUUUCUUGGCUCUUCACUACAUAUCCUGGUAUGUAUCACUGCAUGUAUCAUUAAACCUGAUUUUAAUUUUGUCUGGUAUUGAAUAUUUAAAUAAAUUAAAUCCUGUUAUGUUUCUGUCUUGAAUGUCACUCAACAGUAUGAAGGCAAGACUAGUCCACAUUUUGGAUGCAGCUUGAGGCUUUUAUUUGCACUUCUGUGUAAUAUUCCACUCGAUGUACAGUUGGUUUACAUUGUGUUCUACUCACACAUAAGGGUUAAGGAGAGUGUGCUUACAUCAUCGCUAAAAUUUUAUAUUCUACUUCAUCAUUUAACACUGCACUAUAAGUACUGUCCACAGCAUUAAAAACUAUUCAGUGUUACUGUAUCUAUCCAGCCUUUACAUUUAAUUUCGUGUAUAUUGGGGUUUUUAAAUUUAGUUUCCAAUCAUUUUACUGUAAAUAAAGUGUUCUCUGAAUUUGAACAGUUCUUUAGGUCAUUUCCAAAAAAAAUUACUAUUUACAUUAAACAUUCAAGUAUUUUAAAUUCAAAGUUCCCUGCAGAGGGGUUGUGAACUUACUUCUCAGGAAUAGUAAGGACAGAUUUCCUAGUCUCACUAACAUUUUAGUCUAUCCGGUUUUCCUCUUCAAGGCUCUGGACACACAAGCCCACCGUGCUCUACUGCUCCUGCCUCUGCGCCGGGCCCGCCCCUUCCCCGUGGGCUGUCAUGGCUGUUCCCUGCGCCACAGGCCACUCGACUCUGCCCCACAGGCCCCCUUCGUGGUACCCGAGCUUGGCCACCUGGGCCUUUCCUUCCCUUUGGCCACUUGUCAGGGAUUUGCUGUCUCGCCACUGAUGGCCACCAGGCGGCGCCCUCCCCCGUUAUUUUUCACAUGGUCCUCACCGCCCUUUCUAUUGCCUGAAACACACCGCUGCAUCUUAUUCACAGUCCAGUCCGUACAUUAUCCCGUGCUCAGCCGCGCCACCUCAUUCCUCCUCCGGCUUCCCGCCUUACUCCAUCUUUCUCACCCCUGCUGGCGCUUUACCUUACCCAUCCCACUGCCAUCAUCAUUCUGAGUUUCCCCCAACUUAUCCCUCUGGGUCACAAGGCGGCGCCACCCGCGCCUUCAUUACGCCGCGGGGAGCCGCUCUUUGCGCAGCCACUUCCAGUCCGCCGAAUUUCAGACCGCGAUUUUCCCACGAUACCACCCCAGUCCACGAGGCGGCAACAUUAGUUCCUCUACUUCUUUAAUGUGCCCUUGGGAGCCGCUCUUGGCGCGGCCUCUCGCGUUCUGCCUGGUGCACCCUGGGAGUCUCAAGAGUGAUGACGUAAUUGCCGAGGGCGCAUUUAAAGGGUACAUACAGCAAAGGGCUGACAAAGGACCUGCCAGAGGCCUGAAAGCGCCGCUGGCCGCGCCGGACAAUGGCGGGAGCUGGGACAAGUGAGGCCCGCGACGCGACGCGACGCGACGCAGGGGGAGGGCGGGAGGCUUGAGCAGGACAGCGGGACAGAACAAAGGAUGGCAGGAGAGGAAAUCUGUCCUCACCAUUCCUGAGAAAUAAGUUCACAGCACCUCUGCAGGGAACUUUGAAUUUAAUAUAUUUACCCUUUU